RNAcentral lists this ribosomal RNA (440 nucleotides) under uncultured bacterium. RNAcentral's name for it is "partial 16S ribosomal RNA". It matches the Rfam family "Bacterial small subunit ribosomal RNA", at positions 338 to 795 of the family's 1533-position model. The record is from RNAcentral.
CCUACGGGUGGCAGCAGUGGGGAAUAUUGCACAAUGGGGGAAACCCUGAUGCAGCGACGCCGCGUGAGUGAAGAAGUAAUUCGGUAUGUAAAGCUCUAUCCGCAGGGAAGAAAAUGACGGUACCUGAGUAAGAAGCUCCGGCUAACUACGUGCCAGCAGCCGCGGUAAUACGUAGGGGGCAAGCGUUAUCCGGAUUUACUGGGUGUAAAGGGAGCGUAGACGGCAUUGCAAGUCUGGAGUGAAAGGCGGGGGCUCAACCCCCGGACUGCUCUGGAAACUGUACGGCUUGAGUGCAGGAGAGGUAAGUGGAAUUCCUGGUGUAGCGGUGAAAUGCGUAGAGAUCAGGAGGAACACCAGUGGCGAAGGCGGCUUACUGGACUGUAACUGACGUUGAGGCUCGAAAGCGUGGGUAGCAAACAGGAUUAGAUACCCUAGUAGUC